UGGGGGCCGUUGACCUCGUGGGUCUGCCUUGCUCGUUCUGCUCGCUCGCGGGAGCAAUUUGGCAGGAGCCACAGAGGGUCCGCCGGGCCGUG
RNAcentral lists this microRNA precursor (92 nucleotides) under Eptesicus fuscus (big brown bat). Its description in RNAcentral is "microRNA efu-mir-9310 precursor". Lineage: Eukaryota; Metazoa; Chordata; Mammalia; Chiroptera; Vespertilionidae. The record is from miRBase by way of RNAcentral.